UCACUACUUGCGUAGGCAGUCUGGCUAGAGUCCCCACCAUUACGUGCUGGUAACUAACCACAGGGGUUGCGCUCGUUGCGCCACUUAAGGCAACACCUCACGACACGAGCUGACGACAGCCUUGCACCACCUGUCACCCAGUCCGAAGAGGCCUCUAUCUCUAGAGGUUUCCGGGUGAUGUCAAACCUAGGUAAGGUUCUUCGCGUUGCUUCGAAUUAAACCACAUGCUCCACCGCUUGUGCGGGCCCCCGUCAAUUCCUUUGAGUUUCAGUCUUGCGACCGUACUCCCCAGGCGGCGAACUUAACGCGUUAGCUUCGAUACUGCGUGCCAAAUUGCACCCAACAUCCAGUUCCCAUCGUUUACGGCGUGGACUAC
Molecule: unclassified non-coding RNA, 376 nt
Filed under: uncultured bacterium
Lineage: Bacteria
Description: contains 16S-23S intergenic spacer region
Source: RNAcentral